Molecule: unclassified non-coding RNA, 1506 nt
Filed under: Drosophila yakuba
Lineage: Eukaryota; Metazoa; Arthropoda; Insecta; Diptera; Drosophilidae
Description: GE27677
Source: RNAcentral
AAUCGCUUUUCAGCUGAGCUUCCGUUUCCUCGAAAAAUGUUCUCAAAAAUACACUGCCCAAUAGAAACCGACGAGUUUUGAACUUUGCGGGGAUGUCAGGUCGCUGGAGAGAUGUUUGCACAAAUGUUUCUGAGCACACACACGAAAAUCUUUGCAAUUGAGAUGCAAAUUGAAUUAUUGUUUGAAUUCUGGCUUUGUUUACGCCGCUUGUUCGAUAAACAUCGGGGCGAAAUGCAGUCAGUGAUAUGUUUGCUGUUGUGUUUGUCGUGUGCUUUAGCUUUUUGUAAAUAUAAACAAAGUCCGGGGACGGGGCGGGAGCGGUGAUGUCGCGGCGGCGGUUGGCGCAAAUAAAAGUUAAAAAUAAAAACUUAUAAUUGUCCGACGGCUGUUGUUAUUUUUAUUAUUGUUGCCAUUUAUUUUUGGAAAUAGACGUUGAAUUUGUUUAUAUGGAGUAAAAAUAAAUUAUUGCGCGUAGUGCGAGAGCAGCGGGCCAGCAUAAUUUCUCGCGGCGUUCGAUUUAAGAUUUCUAUCUGUUGUGAAUCGCUAGCGGAAUCGGAUCGUUGGAUCUUUGGCUCGGAAUGAAAAUAUCGAACUCGCAAACGGAUCCCAAACUGAUCUGCCGAAAUCGAAUCGAAUCGAAAUCUCAAAAUCUCGAAAUCCCGAAAACCGAAAAACUGAAGAAGCGGCGCUGCGGACGCGUACAAACGUACUGACGGAUAUGCCGUCGUUGACGUCGUAACGCCAAGUACGCACACACAGAUACGCCCGCACACAACUGCACUGGCAGGCUCUCUCGUAGUCCCACACACAAACAGGCACAGCCACCAACGAACACAAUAUCGCACACACACAUCACACCAGAGAAUGAGAGAGCGGGAGAGAAAGGGAGUGCGCAGUCGCUGACUUUGAGUUCUUACUCACAACGAAAGCAAGAGUGAGCGAGAGGUGGCGGGCUGGUGGGAACGCACUGUUUACGCCAUCUGGUGGGCAUUUGGUGAAGCUGUAGCCGAUCGUGAGAAUGUCUCCAUCUUUCGGGCUGAGUAUUACAGAACGACCUCUGGCGGCGAACUGGCACAUCACUUGUUGGCAACAUGUUGCUGGCUUCACUCAACAUUUUGAAUUCUCCCGAUUCUUUAUUUAUUACUCUUUUUCUUUCUUCGCAAACAGAUGUUUCCCCUUUAUUUUGGGAAAUUUCACGACUUAUGACAGCAGAAUUGCACUUUACUGGAUGAAAUGAAACUUAAUUGGCACCGCUUUACUCACGUCCGAUGAUCGAUUGCGUUUCGAUUGUCCACGAAUGGAAACGAUAAUACGAUGUGACACGGACACUGGCGAGACGAGCCGAUUGAUUCGGAUUGAGGAUUGGAAAUGAAAAUAUUGUACAAGAAUCUAUAUGUGCGAGGAGGUAUAGACGUGUGUAUAUUUCCUACACUUCACUUUACUGGCGCAGAAAAUCGCAUAUACACCGAGAAUGUAUAAUUAUAAAUAAAUGUUCUAUAAAAAACG